UUGACCCGUGUUGUAAAAUAACUUUUUCUCUCUACUUAAUUGAAUGAUACGUAGCUCUCUAGCGUAUUCUAGAAAAGACAAUGCGGACAUAUAGUCGAGAACACCAUUGUAAAAUCACUUAGUGUUGUACGUCCACCCAUAUUACAUUUGUCUGGAUGAUUUUUGCCUGAUUGUCGGAUGACAUUUCCCGUCACUUCUCUGGAAGCAUGCUGUCUUUUCAUGUCAUGCAGAGAUCGCUUCACAUUAUCACACAAUAUCGCAUGAGCUUCUGAAACCAACUUGAAAGCAGCAUAGCACCAGGAAGAGUAUUUUUAUCAGGAUGAAGCCAAUACGCAAGUUUGUCAUAGUGCUUUGUUAUGACUGUGACAUCUGCUGUUACCUCUACUUGCAGAAUACCGUACCAGUCCAAGUCUCUGCUGAUCUUUGUCUCUGCUGCGCAAUACACUUCACAGACAGUUAACAACUGGGAUAAGUUCUCAAGCUCUGGAUAAAGCCUUUGAGCUUGACGGGCGCAAUCCUUCAUGCACAAGAAAAAUCUUUAUUUUGUAGCUUCUUUACAGCAAUUCUUCUGGCCCUUACGGCCUCUUCUCUGUUGCAUUCCACCAUAGU
Molecule: long non-coding RNA, 609 nt
Filed under: Setaria viridis
Lineage: Eukaryota; Viridiplantae; Streptophyta; Magnoliopsida; Poales; Poaceae
Description: long non-coding RNA (SVIR_LNC009775)
Source: RNAcentral